Molecule: long non-coding RNA, 760 nt
Organism: Urocitellus parryii (Arctic ground squirrel)
Lineage: Eukaryota; Metazoa; Chordata; Mammalia; Rodentia; Sciuridae
Source: RefSeq, a predicted model, not a curated record
CAAGCCAAGUGCCUUGCUCUCCUGGUCACGGCCUGGAGGCCCCGACUCAACGUAGGGAAUCAAGCCAGAAUUUCCCCAUUCGCCAGAGAGGGAACGGCCUCCCUCCCACUCAGUGCCACCACCAUUUAUCACCACGAGUUUCGGACCCCAAGGUGGCCCGAGCUUCACCGAUCAUCUUUGGGGUGGGGAACCCCCUCCCCGGCCCGACACUUCCUCCUAUGAAGAGGGGCAAAAAACAGGCCUUUCCACGGGUGCCCGACAUCAACCGAGCAAUCCGGUCGCGCGACGGAGACCGACCACCACCGAAGAGGCUUUGGGGGCUUUUGGUGGGGACAAUCGUGGAGAGAAAAGCGUUCAUCCCCGCCUUGGUGCCCCCCCCCAAAGUCUCACGGUGCCAGUGACAUGACCCCAAAGAAGCGAUGGCAAAGGGGGGGGGGUGGUUGGAAACCUGGCUCUGAGGUUGCCCUCACCCAAGGAGCUCCGGCUUCUUCCUAGAAUUUCUAGAAGCACUUUCGGAGGGACUGAGGGCUUCCGGCCCGACGCAGAGGAAUUUGAGCCUCGCCCCGGCGGCAGCCUGGGAGCGGAGAGGCUGCAGAGCCACAUUCCGCCCGAGCCGCCCCUGCUAGGCCCCAGGAAGCGCCGCGGAAAACAAAGCGCUGCGGUUUCAGCCCAAGGUUAAAGUCCACCGCGAGCGUUUUUUUUUUCCCCCCCCGGAAUCUGAGAGCGAUAGCGUUUCUCCAAAUAAACCGCCAAUAAAUCA